Non-coding RNA from Myodes glareolus (Bank vole), 6026 nucleotides. The record is from RefSeq and is a predicted model, not a curated record. Lineage: Eukaryota; Metazoa; Chordata; Mammalia; Rodentia; Cricetidae.
CCACCCUGCCUGUGGGCGGCAGAGGCUAGCCAGCGUCAGCUCCAGGGCUUCCGGGUUUCUAGACUUCCGCCGGGCCCUCAGCUGUCAGGAGGCGCGUUCCUCACUUACCUCGCAGCCCUAGGAUUCCUGGCAGUUUCGUAAGGCCACAGCUGGAAUGCAGCUGCUGGGGGUGGAGCGAGCAGAACCCUUGUUUCCUGCCUGUGCGUGGCUAUAACAAUAAUUACCCAUGUGGCAGACGUGCUGAGCACCUAAGAGUCACUCUGUCAAACGGGGCAAGGUCUCAACGUGAGAACUCGAAGCCCUUCACUUCUCCUCUGGCCGACCUUCAUCUCCCCAGCACCCAGGACACACCCCUGAUGUGUACCAGGUGGCCGGAACUAACUCCAGCAGGAUGUGCCCUCUGGAGCCCCAGGCGGUUGGCAACAAGGACCUGGCAGGCCUGCUCAAGGCAAACGCAGCUGUUUCCGGACUUCCUGCAUUCUUAUCACCUGAGUUGCCCUGAGCAGCUCUUGUUCUUCGGAACCUACAGGAACCUACCAGUCAUGUUGCCAGUUUCUCGGAGACUGCCCCAUGUAGCUGGCAGAUCCCACACUGUGCCCAGCCUGUCCCAGAACAAGAGCUCUACAAACAGGACGUUCUCAUGUUGCAGUCUACAGAAGCUUACUGAGGACUCGCCCAGUGGGAAACCUUACCAAUGCAGGAAGGACCAGACACCUCAACCACCGUUUCUCACUGUCACCGGGCGAUGUCUGGAGGAAGGCAGACUUCCACCUCCACCUUCUGAUCCAGAGUUUGUAUUUUAGCAAAGGCCUGGUGGUUCCUAUGCAAGUCAGAGCUAGAGGCAACUGAAAGCAACAGUUUCCCACAAUAAAGAUGUUGCACGCUUCCUCCUGGGGAGAUGUGGGCAGACAUCUGUUCUCCUCAGAUGUGGCAUUGAAGACGGACCAAAGAAAUAAUUGAGGCCAACUGUGGCUUGGUUGGAUCCCUAAGAGGCCCUUCCACCCCAGAUGACAAGCCACUUGUUGCCCCCAGGAUAAGGUCCACGUCUUCAGGACUCUCAUACCGCCCAGGAGUGGCCCCCUGAACCCCACCCCUGAGUACCAGAGUGGUUCCACCCUCCUUCUCAUCCCCAGGAGGAGGCAGAUUCCAAAGCGGAAGUUUAAGGGAUGCUUUAUGGGAAUGGGGGAGGAUGGAAGGGUGGGGCUGCCCAGGAACCUUUUACAUGAAAGACUCCGGUGGCUGCUACCGCCACCAAGUAGGGUCCCUGAGCCUCACAGCUGCCUCAGCCCUGUUCUUUUUUAUCUACUUAGAGUGCUCAGCGGGGUCAUGGCAAGCCGGAGAAGCAAUGCUAAUGACUCCGGCUCCACGUGGCCACCAUUCAGGGGGAAAAAAAAAAAGCUGCAAUGUUCUCUCUGCCACAUUAAUCAGAGAAACACAUCGAGAGCCGGUUGCAUGGAGACAGCUUUCCUCGUGGUACCUGCCCUGCAUGCUAAUCACCUCCCCUCCUGGCAGUGAGUCAGCUCUGAGCCUUGGCUGGUGGCAGAGAGGCCUGGCCAGGAGCACCAGCUCCACUCAGGUGUCACAAGCCAGAGCUGUGGCACCUUGUACCCUACCCAGAUGCCCCUCACCCCAAUGCCCAUCGUCCACCACUGUCCAUCCCCUGGUAUAAAUUUUGGAUCACUUCCCUUGCCGCUUAAGACUUCCCUCCCAGGUCCAAAGGGAAUUCUCUAGAAACUAGUUUCUGAACAGAGUCUGAUUAAAGUAAGAGGGGACUCACUGUCAGGCCCUUGGAUAACAAUGACAUCACCUUAGAUGGUAUUCGGCGGGUGGCAGUCACAAACAUAAGCAGUCUAGACAGAUUAGCUCAUUUGAUUCUUAUGUAACCUUUCAGAUUCUUCACGGAUGUGACUCCGAGUUUACAGGUAAACUCACACAGAGAAGUUUAGGGAGCAACCCAAGGUCACACACCUAUAACACAAGGAGACUGAACCCUGAACCGUGGCCUCCCAUUGCUCUCCCUGGGCCUGGCUCUCCUGAACACAAUAAAGCCUCUGAAUCGUUUUACACAUAAAGGUCAUCCAUUCGUUAAUUCAACAACUAUCUGUUGGACCUACUGCCUGCCAGGCUCAUAGCUAGGCACCAGGGAGCUAUCAGUAAAUGAAAGAGAUCACAGACGGAGGGGUGAUUGACAGGAAUUUCACAAAUUCAUAGUCAUGGAAAACGCGGUAAACUGGGCAGUGGUGGCACAGACCUUUAAUCCCAGCACUUGGGAGGCAGAGGCAGAGUUCAGGGCCAGCCUGGUCUACAAGAGCUAGUUCCAGGAAACAUGGGCUGUUACACAGAGAAACCCUGUCUCGGAAAAACAAACAAACAAACAAACAAAACCUGGUGAGCGCCCGCGUAGAAUCAGGUCUUUUCAGGGGUCCAGAGAAACAUUUGUCAAAGAAAUGACGCACAGAGACUAAUAUUUCACAGUGCAGUCUUUGUGUCUGGACAGUGAUGGCGCUGGGCCCUGUGUUGGCAACGGGAGCAUCCGCAAAAGGGAACUUGUUCAGAAAGGCGGGCGCAGGUAUGGUGUCAAAUACUUGUUACCCCAACAUUCAGGAGGUGGAGGCAGGAGGAUCCAGAGUCCCAGGCCAGCCUGGGCUGUUCCAUGAGACCCUGUAUCAAAGAAGGAAUUCAAACUCUCAGGCUCCACCCCUGACGUACCGAGAACACAGGAUUGUGCAAAGACCAUGUGCCUUGGCCGACCCCCCCCCCCCAACUUCACCCCAGGUCUGAAUCAGGGCCAACACUCCUGGGGAGAGGGGAACAGGAAGGGCCUAAAGGAAGGCAGAAAGACAGUGUCCCUCUGGAGACCCUUGCGGCUGACUUUUUCUUCAGCUUCCCUUGUCCCUGCUUGGGGCAUACCACCUCUACUACAAGCCUGCAGGUGUGUGAAGGCAGAGUGGCCUGGACCGGGACUGGCCUGUAGGUGUGGGAAGCAGUUCUGCCCUGAGUCAUUGUUCAACCAGGAAGCUUGGCCAGAGGGGAGCCUGGAGGAAGAGCAAGCAAGUCACUGAGUUGAAUUUUCAGGCUUGAGGUGGGUAAGAGGGUGGAGUGGCUCCCGAAGGUGUAGAGGUCUCCAGUCCCCUGACGUGACAGUCCUUUGGUUUCCAGGAAGCUCCAGUUUAGAUCAUGAAUCCCGUUGCCGGGGACGUUUCUUCCCUAGUGCCCAGAAAGGACCCCAAAGACCGCCUUCCUUGUUCUCCACAGUCUGCCCAGGAUCUGAGGAGCCAGUUGGCUCUCAGCUAGAGAUUAGUUUCCGGGCACAGGGUCCCCAGAGGUGGCUUCACCCCUCCUCUAGAGACAGCCCUGGCUGUAGCAGACCAUGCAUAGCCCUAAGCACGCAGCAUCCUGCAUAGAAGAGUUGCUGGUGUUGCUAUGAGUAACUGAAGCCAGGAAGGAGCUUGUAGUGGGGGACUGGCCACUGUCUCCAGGCUCAACAGUUCAGACGAGGUGUGGCUACCCCUGCUGCCUAGAAUCGCUGGCCUAGAAAUAAGCCAAUGUUGGUGACAACCAAACAGCCUCCAGGCCCCACGUCUACCGGAAUUUAUGGGACACGUACUAUGUAUGACUAGACAUUGCGUGAGGCCCCUUUGUGUGUCCCCUGCGAAAGCAGUUGGUCUUCAGACCCUCCCUCCUGUCCUUCUGUCCACAGCGUGUAUUGAUCACUAUCGCUGCUGGCAGCACAUCAAGAUGGGGGGAGGUGGCACAGGCACAGAUGUUCCAGAGACAUGUUCUGAGGGACAAGAUUGAUAUUUCCGAGUGUCUUAUUAUUAUUAUCACUAUUAUUGUUAUUAUUAUUGCUGUGUACUUAUUUUUGCUUCUCGGAGACAGGGUUCCUCUCUGUGCCUCUGGCUGUCCUAGAACUAGCUCUGUAGAGGUUGUGUGGCCACCUCACUCCUCUUUGUGACCUUGUAUUUAGGGCGUCGUGGGCAUUAGUUGUGAAUGAGCUAAUGUCCCCAGAACCUAGCUGCUCUCUUGGUGUGGGAUAUAGGCCUGCGACCAAUUUGUUUUGUCCCUGCUCUUCCCCCUAGAACAAGGAAAGAGGAAGCAAAGACUCCCUGGAAAUUGAAACCAGACCCAUCAUAGUCCUGGCAGCCACAUGAGUCUCCAGGCCAGAGGGCCUCUCUUUGAGAACAGAGAGCCCUGGAGGGCAAUAGGCCCUGUGCCCAGCAUGGCAAGUCAGGCUAAGGAAUGCAGUGCCAGGCAAGAUAAAUACUUUUGGGGUCUUGGCCUAGCACUGGGGACUGUUUGUGACUCCAUUAGAGGCAGGUUUGGCUCCAGCCAGAAACCAGAGUGCUGGCUCGGGCUUAGGCCUGGCAAUGGGCCGACCGCCAACAUGGAGGCAGGAAGAAAGCUGUUUUUACCCCUUCCCACCCUCCUAGGGAUCAGUGGGAAUGGGGGGGCCAGAAAAAGCAGCUGAGUUUGAAGUCCUACUCCCACUUUGUUGGGUUCCUCACCAGUGCUUCUCGGAGGUCCCCAGGGAAGUGCUCUCCCUCUGUGAGGGCCGCCUCUAUACAAGCACUACUGGACUUGGAGCAGACGGACAUUGUGCCCCUCCAGUGUGGCAGUGGCCUUCUGACGUUGGUUCGGGUGACAUUCAGGCAUCUCACCCGUGAUUCCGCCUUGUCUAGUGGAAGCUGAUGGAUGGACUUGGGAGAGAGAGGUCUUCCCAGAAGGGCAGGCCUGGGGAAGCAAUCGGGCAACAAACAGAACAAACAGAAGAGGCAGUGUUCCAGCUCUCUCCGCUCUUUGUUUUGGAAACAAAAAUGCAGAGGAAAAAAAAAGUGAGCUGGUGGCUCAAACCUGUAAUCUUAGUACCCAGGAAUCUGAGGCAGGGGGAGCACCAUGAGUUUGAGGCCAGCCUAUGCUACAGAGUCAGGUCUGUGUCAAAAUAAAUAAGCAAAUAAACAAUGAGAAACAGCAGCAGCAACAGGAAAGCAGCUCCUUUCAUGCCUGUUCCUGACCAGCGUCACCACUGUCCCCGGCAAUAACCGUAAGCGACAUGUACCACGCCAGACUUUCCAGGUGUUUACAUAGAGAACACACACAUGCUCGCGUAUGUAUGGGGUCAAGUUCUUUGUUUCAUGGCGGUUUUGCACAAAUGGCUGACCGGAUUACUCUGCAGUUGCUUGCUUGGAACAGUCCACGCUGACUUCCUCUUGGGGGAAGUAGCCUUGUUUGAUUUUUCUUAGCUUUUCUGCAUAACAGUCCGCGCGUGGCUAUAGCAUUGACAGCUGGUUCGGUAGCUUCUCCUCCGCCUCUGCUCUCCCUCGGGGAGCAUGAGCCAGCUUUUGUAGUAAAUGGCAUGUCUACCCGAUUCCAGGGGCCACCACCCACUCUCAGAAUGUGACAGCCCUGCCUGACGGACAGUUGAGGUGUCUCUGAUUGUCACCCCACCGACAGUCCCCCAGGGAGCAUGUUGCCUGGGCUUUCUGGGUGCAUGUGAAUAGUUUUUUGGCCAUCGCUUCCUCUGGUGAAGCUGGUGGGCAGAAGCUCCUCUUGGUGGAUGCUGCUACAAUGUGGCAGGGUGGCUUAGGGCUCCCUGGUUUCCUCAGCCCUCAGCCAUACAAGUCUCAGUAGCACACACAUAUCCCACGUGACUGCUGACUGAGUGGCCGUUUCCAGGAAAUCGAUUGUAAAGACCUCAGAGUGUCAGUGGCUCACACACUGGAGGCAGUCCAGGGAGUAGAUAAAACUGUAUGAGAAAAAUCACAUCCUGAGCUCAAGACGGCUGGUAAUGGGGGCCCUGCGGUGACCUUUCUGGAGAACUUAUAGUUUCACACUUGCUCGCUCUCCACCUCCGGCCCCUGCACAAGGGUAGUCCCUCUCUGUCUUUGAAGGAGUCUCUCUCCUCAUGAAUAGGUCUGGCUACUAGGUCCAGGGUCCAAGCUGUCUUUGUAGCCAGGGGCUAUCAAACCCUCUCCUAGUCCCAGACCGGUGGCUCCUCCCAGCUGGGCACAGCCCACCCCCCCACCCCC